GAACCAGAUAGAAAUUUUAGAACAAAAAAUAUAAUUAACGUAAAAAAGGCUCAGUGGAUGGGGUCAACAGCAGAAUGAAGGGGACAAAGGAAAGAAAUAGUGAACUGAUUGAUAGAAAAAUAGAAAUUACGCAGUCUAUUCUACAGAGAGAAAAUAGACUGGGGAAAAAAAAUGAGCAGUGCAUCAGGGACCUGUGGAACCAUAACACAAACUCUAGCAUUGUGUUAUCAGAUUCCUAGAAGGAAAGCAGAAAGAAGAUGGCUCUAAAAGUACUCAGUGACCAAAAACUUGCAAAGUGUGGCAGAAGACAUAAACCUAGAUUUAAGAGGCUGAGCUACCUCCAAACAGGAUAAAACCCAGAUAAAUCCACACCACGCCAAACUUCUGACCACGGUCAAAUCUCUGACAGCUAAAGACAAAGGAAAAACGACAAGAGCAGUAAGAAACUUACCAAUUCAAAUGACAGCAGUUUCUCAUCAGAAACAGUGGGGUCAGAAAGAAAUACACAGCAAUUUCAAGAGCUGAAAGAGAAUAAUUUUCAGGAUGGUAGAAUUAGCAAAAAUACCUUUCAAGAAUGAAGAAAAGUGAAAACAUUAUCAGGAUGAAAGAAAGCUAAGAACUUAUUAAUAGCAGAUCUACAAAACAGUGGCUAAUGGAAGUUAUCUAACAGAAAUGAAAUAAAAGAAUCUUUGAAGGGACACCAGUAACCAAAAGUAUGGAUAAUUACGAUAGAUUUUUCUUAAAACAUUUUAAGUCUUACAAAUUAUGUUUGACAAGUGAAGCAGAACAAUAAUGUCUAAUGUGUUCUUGGUGUACAUACAGGAAAUACCAUGGUGAAGAAAGGGAUAUCAGGGGAGGUAAGGGUACUGUACUAUACUACACUUCACCUGAUUUGGUAAAAGAACAACACUGGUAGACUGUGAUUAAGUUUUUUAUAUUUAUAUAUUAAGUCUUAUGUAUAUAAAUGUAAUACCUGGAGUCACUACUAAAAAAUAUACAAAAAGGUACACUAAUAAACAAUAGGUAAAUCAGUAUGAAACUUUUAAAAAGGUUCAAAUUAACCCUCAGAAAGGUGGGAAAAAGAAAACCAAAGCCAGCCACAAAAAACAAAGUGGCAGACAUAAGCCCUCACAUUGCAAUAAUGACAUGAAAUGUACAUGAUCUAAAGACACAGAUCAAAAAAUAAUUGGCAGAGAGGAUUAAAAAACAUGACCCAACUACAUGGGUGUCUAUAAGAAACUCACUUCAAAUACAAUGAUACAGGCAAGUUGAAAAGAAAAUUAUUGGAGAAGAUAUAUCAUACAAACAUUAAUCAGAAGAAAACAAAAGUGGCUCUAUUUAUAUCAAAUAAAGUAGACUUAAGAGCAAAGAAAAUUGCCAGAGACAGAGUGGGAUAUUAUGAGUCUACCAGGAAGACAUAGCAAUCCUAAAUAUGUAUAUAUCAAACAAUAGAGCUGCAAGACACGUGAAGCAAAAACCAAUAGAAAUCUGGAACUAAACUAAACAGUGGAAUUAAACUAGAAAUCAUUAAUAGUCUCCAGUUAUGAUUAUGGAUUUGUCUAUUUCUCCUUUCAGUUCUAUUAGUCUGGUUAUCAAUAAGCGAUAACUGGAAAAAAAAUCUCCAAAGACUUGGAAACUAAACAACACACUUCUCUCUGUCUAGCGGACAUCUUAAAGGAAACUUAAAAAUACACUGAACUAAUUAAACAUGGGCAAAGGAGAUCCUAAGAAGCCGAGAGGCAAAAUGUCAUCAUACACAUUCUUUGUGCAAACUUGCCGAGAGGAUCACAAGAAGAAGCACCCAGAUGCUUCAGUCAACUUCUCAGAGUUUUCUAAGAAGUGCUCAGAAAGGUGGAAGACCAUGUCUGCUAAAGAGAAAGGAAAAUUUGAAGACAUGGCAAAGGCGGACAAGGCCCGUUAUGAAAGAGAAAUGAAAACUUAUAUCCCCCCCUAAAGGGGAAACAAAAAAGAAGUUCAAGGAUCCCAAUGCACCCAAGAGGCCUCCUUCGGCCUUUUUCGUGUUUUGUUCUGAGUAUCGCCCAAAAAUCAAAGGAGAACAUCCCGGCCGAUCCAUUGGUGAUGUUGCAAAGAAACUGGGAGAGAUGUGGAAUAACACUGCUGCAGAUGACAAGCAGCCUUUUGAAAAGAAGGCUGCUAAGCUGAAGGAAAAAUAUGAAAAGGAUAUUGCUGCAUACCGAGCUAAAGGAAAGCCUGGUGCGGCAAAAAAGGGAGUUGUCAAGGCUGAAGAGAGCAAGAAAAAGAGGAAGAUGAGGAAUAUGAAGAAGAAGAUGAUGAUGAAUAAGUUGGUUCUAGCGCAGUUUUUUUUUCCUUUUCUAUAAAGCAUUUAACCCCCCUGUACACAACUCACUCCUUUUAAAGAAAAAAACUGAAAUGUAAGGCUGUGUGAGAUUUGUUUUUAAACUGUACAGUGUCUUUUUUUGUAUAGUUAACACACUACCAAAUGUGUCUUUAAGAUAGCCCUGUCCUGGUGGUGGUAGUUUCAAUAGCCACUAACCUUGCCUGGUACAGUAUGGGGGCUGUAUAUUGGCAUGGAAAUUUAAAGCAGGUUCUUGUUGGUGCACAGCACAAAUUACUUAUAUAUGGGGAUGGUAGUUUUUCAUCUUCAGUUGUCUCUGAUGCAGCUUCUACGAGAUAAUUGUUGUUCUGUUAACUGAAUAUCACUCUGUAAUUGCAAAAAAAAAAAGUUGCAGCUGUUUUGUUGACAUUCUGAAUGCUUCUAAGUAAAUACGGUUUUUUU
Zalophus californianus (California sea lion) is the source of this 2758-nucleotide RNA transcript. It is a transcript of the gene named high mobility group protein B1-like, with no coding region annotated. Lineage: Eukaryota; Metazoa; Chordata; Mammalia; Carnivora; Otariidae. The record is from RefSeq and is a predicted model, not a curated record. The transcript has a single exon.